RNAcentral lists this transfer RNA (66 nucleotides) under Gastropacha populifolia. RNAcentral's name for it is "tRNA-Cys". The record is from RNAcentral. Lineage: Eukaryota; Metazoa; Arthropoda; Insecta; Lepidoptera; Lasiocampidae.
AGUCUUAUAGUCAAAAAUGAUUUAAAAUUGCAAAUUUUAAGGAAAAAUUUAUUAUUUUUAAGGCUU